This 383-nucleotide ribosomal RNA is filed under the name Dardanus sp. USNM 1544521. Its description in RNAcentral is "partial large subunit ribosomal RNA". It matches the Rfam family "Bacterial large subunit ribosomal RNA", at positions 1966 to 2550 of the family's 2925-position model. The record is from RNAcentral. Lineage: Eukaryota; Metazoa; Arthropoda; Malacostraca; Decapoda; Diogenidae.
CACUAGUCUUUUUAAUUGAAGGCUUGUAUGAAUGGUUGGACGAGAGAAAAGCUGUCUCAGUCAAAAAAUUGAAAUUAACUUUUAGGUGAAAAGGCCUAAAUAAUUUGAGAAGACGAUAAGACCCUAUAAAUCUUAAUAUUAGUGCGAAGUAGUCUUUCGAUUUGUAAGUAAAAAAAACACUAAUUCGCUAGUAUUUUGUUGGGGCGACAAAAAUAUAGAAAGUUUACCUGUUUUAAAUUGAGUACAAUUUUUUUUGAUUACUACAAAGAUCCUUCUUAAAGAUUAAGAGAUUAAGUUACUUUAGGGAUAACAGCGUUAUUUUCCUCGAGAGUCCAUAUCGAAAGGAGAGUUUGCGACCUCGAUGUUGAAUUAAAAUUUCUCUG